ACACAUCGGGUUAGGAAGACUUAAUAAUAUGACUAGAUAGUUUUUGAGAGUGACAUGUUGGAGAUGAUUGAUUAUGAAUAUAUUACUGAAAAAAUACUAACAAAAUGAUUUAAUUUUGUGUUAAUAAAAAAUUCAGUAUUAGGGCCUCAUAUUGAAUAUUGCACCGGAGCCCCCAAAUACUGGAGAUGGACGAACGGAUGCAUCUCCUUGGUUUUUUUGCUGCAAAAUGUGAUGCCGGUUGUGGCUCUAUGCCCACCUCCUGGAUUGUGUUCUUACCGUCGAGUGACCAACAAGAGGGAGAGGAGGAGCGCAACUGCGCUUGAGCUCGGUGGUGGGGAAAGGAGGCUCGUGAAGAUGAGCUUGUGUGUGCUGGACUGGCAUCUCUAUGUGUUCUCAUGUAGGGACGGUGAACCAGAAGUUGUGUGUAUAUGGCAUACUGCAGUUCUUGUGAUUUGCAGGUCACAAAAGGAGGAUCUAUUCUACUUGGACUAAACUGCAAUUGGCACCAAUUGCCAAUUAUUAAUCCGCUUUGAUGAAUCUUAUGUAUGAACCUGGAGGGAGAGUGGUCUUAAUAUGAGCAACGUCCAGUGAGUCGUGUUGAUGUCCUACCAGAAAAAAAGAUCAAUCAAUAUCUUAAUAUCGUAGAGUUUUUGGUUUAUUAUUAAGUGUAUUACAAAAUGAUCAACACUAUGUUUUUGUAAGCAUACAUAAAUUAUUAUUAUUUUCCUACUAA
Molecule: non-coding RNA, 733 nt
Organism: Lolium perenne
Lineage: Eukaryota; Viridiplantae; Streptophyta; Magnoliopsida; Poales; Poaceae
Source: RefSeq, a predicted model, not a curated record